CCUACGGGUGGCAGCAGUGAGGAAUAUUGGUCAAUGGCCGGAAGGCUGAACCAGCCAUGCCGCGUGAAGGUCAGUGCCCUAUGGGCGUUAAACUUCUUUUGUGCGGGAGCAAUAAUGGUCACGUGUGGCCAGACGAGAGUACCGUACGAAUAAGCAUCGGCUAACUCCGUGCCAGCAGCCGCGGUAAUACGGGGGAUGCAAGCGUUAUCCGGGUUUAUUGGGUUUAAAGGGUGCGUAGGCUGUGAGGUAAGUCAGCGGUGAAAUGCCCCCGCUCAACGGGGUGAAGUGCCAUUGAUACUGGCUGGCUGGAGUGCGGAUGCGGUGGGAGGAAUGUGUGGUGUAGCGGUGAAAUGCAUAGAUAUCACACAGAACACCGAUUGCGAAGGCAUCUCACGAAUCCGCGAUUGACGCUGAUGCACGAAAGCGUGGGUAUCAAACAGGAUUAGAUACCCGGGUAGUC
This 460-nucleotide ribosomal RNA is filed under the name uncultured bacterium. RNAcentral's name for it is "partial 16S ribosomal RNA". It matches the Rfam family "Bacterial small subunit ribosomal RNA", at positions 338 to 795 of the family's 1533-position model. The record is from RNAcentral.